RNAcentral lists this long non-coding RNA (236 nucleotides) under Gossypium raimondii (Peruvian cotton). RNAcentral's name for it is "long non-coding RNA (GRAI_LNC000885)". Lineage: Eukaryota; Viridiplantae; Streptophyta; Magnoliopsida; Malvales; Malvaceae. The record is from RNAcentral.
AUAUUUUGUAAGUUCAUAGGUUUUCAAGAAUAGUUUAUGUUGAACAAAAGAGAUGAAUUAGGGAUUAAAUUGAAGGAAUUUUAAGUUAGAAUUGAAAAAGGGAUUAAAUUGUAAAAGAAACUAUAAGUUUUAUGUUUUAAGGACUAAAUUUAGAGAAAUUCGAAAUUAGCAAAAUAUGCUGAAAUUUUGAUAGUUAAAUUUUAGUUUGGAUGAAAUUUGAAUAGAAAUAGAGUGUG